CGCGGGGUGGAGCAGCCUGGUAGCUCGUCGGGCUCAUAACCCGAAGGUCGCAAGUUCAAAUAUUGCCCCCGCAACCA
RNAcentral lists this transfer RNA (77 nucleotides) under Thiomonas sp. 15-66-11. RNAcentral describes it as "tRNA-Met". It matches the Rfam family "tRNA". Rfam says of the family: Transfer RNA (tRNA) molecules are approximately 80 nucleotides in length. Their secondary structure includes four short double-helical elements and three loops (D, anti-codon, and T loops). Lineage: Bacteria; Pseudomonadati; Pseudomonadota; Betaproteobacteria; Burkholderiales. The record is from RNAcentral.